RNAcentral lists this transfer RNA (75 nucleotides) under Bacillus cereus. RNAcentral describes it as "tRNA-Glu". It matches the Rfam family "tRNA". From Rfam's summary of the family: Transfer RNA (tRNA) molecules are approximately 80 nucleotides in length. RNAcentral also lists the same sequence under 3 other names. The record is from RNAcentral. Lineage: Bacteria; Bacillati; Bacillota; Bacilli; Caryophanales; Bacillaceae.
GCUCCAUUAGUCAAGUGGUUAAGACACCCGACUUUCUAUCGGGUAACACGAGUUCGAAUCUCGUAUGGAGUACCA